This is a long non-coding RNA of Vulpes vulpes (red fox), 2428 nucleotides long. The record is from Ensembl. Lineage: Eukaryota; Metazoa; Chordata; Mammalia; Carnivora; Canidae.
GGGGGGGGGGGAGGAGAAGAGAAGCAGCUUUUCGCUCUAUUCAGCCUGGACGCGGGAGCGCGGACGAUUUCCGCUCCCAUUGUGAGGCGGGGCCCGGGGGCGGCCGUGAAUGGGGGGUCUGCCGAGCGGCCCGCGGGGCUGUCAGGCGGCUCAGCGUAAUCAGGGCUAAUGACGGUGGCCGGGCGCUCCGCGGGACAAUGCGCGGGGCCGCGGGGUUUUGUCGGCCUGAAUGGCUAAUAGGUUCGCCUGGGGGUGCGAGGGGGGCGGUGUCGGGGAAGAGGCGGCGGCGAGGGGAAAAGGGGUCAUUGUUCGCGCACCGGCCCGGGCGCCGAGGCGCGUCCCUCUCCCCGCGCGGCGGCCCCCGGGCCGGGAGCGGCCGACUGGAAGGCCGCGGCCGGGAGGCCCCCUGGAGGCCUGCUGCGACAGGGCGGCGGGAACGGCGGGUGCGUGGGUUCCGCGUACGGGAGGCAGCCCCGACACAACUCUGUUCCCCGGAGACGCCCAGAGGCUUUUAACUCUGCCUGGGGCUGCUUGUCAUCUAUUUGAAGCUCUCCAAAGGGACCUUAGCCCAUUCUGCAAUUCCGGAUAACCCGAAAUGUAAGUAUGAUCAGUGAAAAAAAGAUAACCUCUUAGGGAAAAUGCAAGGUCUAUUUUUUGGAAGAAGCGGUGAUCCCAGUUUACUUACAUUUGUAUUGCUCUUCAUAGCUAGUAAUGAGAUCCUUUCAGCUGCACCAUCUCACUUCCUCACAAGAAUGCUGUGAGGUGAGUCAGCAGAUAUGGUUCCUACCUUCCAGAUAAAACUGGAGGCUCACGUUACUUGUGCAGCCACAGGACCAGGGAAGAAUCCAGAUUUUCCAGGGCUUAAAGUUUAGAUAACUUGAAGGGGAGAAUACUCUUUAAGAUAAAGGAUACAAAUUUAUGAGUACAAAAUUACAACAAUUACAAAAUUUUAAAACCUAGCAAAUACAACAAACAUCACAAAAUCCAAAUGAUAACAAAAUAAGUUUAUUAAUUUUCAUAUAUAUCUCUAGAAUAGUUUUUUCCCUACUUUUUUUUCCCCUGUGUGUUCUUUUAUUGCUUCUAUAUAUGACAACAAUUUUACACUACAGACUUGAAUAGAUAAUUCAGUCUUUCCUCUAUUAUGGGUUGUUUUUAACAUUUUAUUCAUGAUUUAGAAAAGCUUCUUUCAGUUUCAUAAUUCGUUAAUAAUGCCAUAUGUAAUUUUUUGGAUUGGUAUCAAAUUGGGAAAGCCUCUGUGAAGUUUCUUUCAUAUAUGAACAGAUUUCAAGACAUAGACAUUUCAAUUUUCCUUGACACUGACAACACUCAUUAGCUAGUUUGUAAUCAAGGGCCUUACAUAUUCAUGUUGUGACACAUAAAUUAGCUCAACAAGCAGUAGAAAUAUUCCUUAUAAGACAUGCCUGCACCAAAAGAGCUAACAAUAACCUAACAAUACACAGAAAUAACAACAAACCAUAAAAAUAUAUACCAGUAAACCCAAACUAUAUCCCCAAUUCAAGUUCCCUGGAUAGCAAAAAUGACUGGUUACUUCAGUGCCACCCAGCACUAAGGGAAAUGUGACAAAGGGAAAUGGGAGUGGAUAGAGACAGUGGUCUAUUGUAGUUAAAUUACCUUGUUUUGCAAAUUUUCCAAAAAUGCAUGAUCAUGUGAACACAGUGCUAGGAUCCCUCCCAGAGCCUUUGAAGGGAUCUAUGUAAAUAAGGUAUUUUACAACCUAUGUGUCACUUGCAACCUAUGUGGCUGCUUCUUCACAGGCAAAGUAAGUGUUUGAUAAGAACAGGUUUUCCUUUUCUUUUUUCUUUUGAGAACAGGUUUUCAGAAUCCAUGUCCAGGACUGCUUUCUAUCAUCCAGGACAUAAUGUGUUUCCCCAGAAAAUUUUGACAAUAUUCUACUCAAAAGCUGUUUUAAGGGAUCCCUGGGUGGUGCAGUGGUUUGGCGCCUGCCUUUGGCCCAGGGCGCAAUCCUGGAGACCCGGGUUUGAAUCCCACGUCGGGCUCCCGGUGUAUGGAGCCUCCUUCUCCCUCUGCCUAUGUCUCUGCCUCUCUCUCUCUCUGUGUGUGUGACUAUCAUUAAAAAAAAAAAAAAAAAGCUGUUUUAAAAAAUGGUUCAUGAUAGAAGAAAAGAGUUUCAGAUUGCAGCUGGCCUUUGGUAGGACUGUGAGAUAGACAGGUUACUCCUGAGAACCUCACCUUCCCUUUUGGGAGUUCUUUACCUUGCCUCCUUAUGGGUGCUACAUCCCAAACUGUAAAAAACCCUUCAGUGCUCUUCACCACCACCCUCUCCCCCCUUUAAUCAAAAUAUAUUCUUGGUUGUUACCAAAAAAUCAGAUAAGCCAAUUCACAUUGACAUACAAAUAGCUGCUAAAAGCUUAAUAAAUUACCUACAGAUGGGGGCCUAAGAGGGUAC